This 2664-nucleotide small RNA is filed under the name Pan troglodytes (chimpanzee). Its description in RNAcentral is "retained intron". Lineage: Eukaryota; Metazoa; Chordata; Mammalia; Primates; Hominidae. The record is from RNAcentral.
UUCCUUCUGGCUGGUCUUUCUCCUUGACACAGACAGAAGAGGGGUCCCUUGGUGCUGAAAAAGGAGCCACAGGCCCACUCAGACAUCUGGAGAGGCUCACUGGGGUUCUCCAAAGGUUGGGGUUCACUCAUUCAACACAUACAUUCAAAACACCUCAUUUGUGCAUCGCUCUUCUUGGGGCUUGGCAUCAUUUCAUAAACAAAGCAGAUGACAUCCCCCGGCCUUGAUUCUACUCAGAGUCAGGCACUCACAGUAGACAGAAUAAACAAGUCACAUCUACAGAAUGUUACAGGUGAGACCCUCAUGGCCUCCUCUACGUAUGGUGGCAUCCUCCCAGACUCUGACUAGAAUGACGCAGCCCAGCAACAAAUAUAAACCGGGUGGAUUUAGGGUUCUGAAGGGCCUUUUCACCCACAAAACAUGGGGGAAAAUAUGUGGACUCUGGCUGGGGAGAGACUAAAGGAGCCCUGGGGCUCAUACUUCUUAUAAUUCCCACGAGAAGGCUGACAUCUGGGGACUUCCCCCACAAGAGGCAAAAAGUGAGUUCUGUAAAUGGAGACUUAGGUCCCCUGCAAAGCAGAGGGGAGGCUGGGGUCACAGCUGGCCACUGAGUAGACCCAUCCCCCUCAGCACCGUGGCUUCCCAGCUCUCCCUGUCCUCCUCCCCCGCCGACAUCUGCCCCUUCCCUCCUAACCCCAGGACCAGGGGACCCAGAUCUGGAGCUUUGAUGAGGAAGCUGCUCACAAAUCUGCCUGCAGCUGCAGUCUUGAGUGCCCAGGUGUACAGUGCUGUGCUCCAGGGCCUUUGGGAAGAGAACGUCAGUGGGACGCCAGGGCUUAUGGGGGUCUGUACAGCCCUGCUGCAUGGGCAGGUCUGCCCCUUCCAGGACAGUACUGAUGGCUUGGAGUAGGGUGGAGCUGUCCUCUGCACAGGCAGCAAGAGGCCAGGGACCCAGAACCAUGCAAGGGUGCCCUGUAGGGUUGUGUGGGAGAAGACCAGGCCUCUGACUCAGCUGUCCACUCCAUCACCAGCACCACCACCUCCAUUUUGUUCACCUGGCCAGCUGAAAACUCUUCAGGUUGCUAUCAGUCCCUGCAACAGUCAUCUUUCUGGAUAAAGCUGGCCUUCAAGAACUUUGCCUGGCCUGGACUGGGCUUGGAGGACCAUCAGGAAAUUGUCCUAGGCCAGUUGGUGCUUCCGGAGCCCAACGAGGCCAAGCCAGAUGAUCCUGCUCCACGUCCUGGGCAACACGCAUUAACAAUGCCGGCCCUGGAGCCAGCACCACCACUGCUGGCGGACCUGGGGCCUGCUCUGGAGCCAGAGUCACGUGCAGCCCUGGGUGCGCCCGGGUAUCUACAUUCAGCACCAGGGCCAGCACCAGCACCAGCAGCAGGGGAAGGGCCCCCUCCAGGGACAGUGCUGGAGCCACAGUCAGCCCCAGAGUCCUCCUGUCCCUGUCGCGGGUCUGUAAAGAACCAACCCAGUGAGGAGCUGCCUGACAUGACGACCUUCCCUCCCAGGCUGCUGGCAGAGCAGCUGACCCUCAUGGAUGCGGAGCUGUUCAAGAAGGUGGUGCUCUACGAAUGCUUGGGCUGCAUCUGGGGCCAACGACAUCCGAAGGGGAAUGAGCACAUGGCACCCACAGUUCGUGCCACCAUCGCACACUUCAACAGGCUCACCAACUGCAUCACCACCUCCUGCCUCGGGGACCACAGCAUGAGGGCCCGGGACAGGGCCAGGGUGGUGGAGCACUGGAUCAAGGUGGCCAGGGAGUGCCUAAGCCUCAACAACUUCUCCUCGGUGCACGUCAUCGUCUCUGCUCUGCGCAGCAACCCAAUAGGUCAGCUACACAAGACGUGGGCAGGAGUGUCCAGCAAAAGCAUGAAAGAGCUAAAAGAACUCUGCAAAAAAGACACUGCAGUGAAGAGGGACCUGCUGAUCAAGGCGGGGAGCUUUAAGGUGGCCACCCAGGAGAGGAACCCCCAGAGAGCCCAGAUGAGGCUGCGGAGGCAGAAGAAGGGUGUGGUCCCCUUCCUGGGGGAUUUUCUGACUGAGUUACAGAGGCUGGAUUCGGCCAUCCCGGACGACCUGGAUGGCAACACCAACAAGAGGAGCAAGGAGGUCCGAGUUCUGCAGGAAAUGCAGCUGCUCCAAGUGGCUGCCAUGAAUUACAGGCUUCGGCCUCUUGAGAAAUUUGUCACCUAUUUCACAAGAAUGGAGCAGCUCAGUGACAAAGAGAGAUGGGGUUUCACGAUGAUGUCCAGGAUGGUCUCAAACUCCUGGCCUCAAGCAAUCCACCCACCUCAGCCUCCCAAAGUACUGACGUUACAGGUGUGAGCCAUCCCACCUGGCCUAGAGAAGGCUCUCCCGUGGCCAGCUGCAGAGAGCCUAUGGCCAUGACUCCACGGCCAGCAUCAAGCCCUGUUGCAUGGGGACCACUGGGGACCCAGGAUUCCAGCUGGGCAGGCACUGACAGGGGACCUGAUGUGUGGCUCAUGGUGGCCUCACAGCUGCUUCUCUGUCCUGCAGCUACAAGCUGUCCUGCCAGCUGGAGCCCGAAAACCCGUAGGCCGGCAACAUCCUGCAGUAGCUGGGAACCCACCGGGAUGCUGGCCAGAACACCGGCUCUGCACCAUCCCUCACCCAGACCGUAGACACCAGGGA